Long non-coding RNA from Anopheles arabiensis, 588 nucleotides. RefSeq lists it as uncharacterized. The record is from RefSeq and is a predicted model, not a curated record. The transcript has 3 exons. Lineage: Eukaryota; Metazoa; Arthropoda; Insecta; Diptera; Culicidae.
GUUGAACCGAAUCUACACAUCUCUCUCGAUCCACCAUGAUUUUUCUGCUAUCGCGCUCAUCCGGGUGUUAGACAUCCUCAGUCUGUCCAGAACUGUCCCUAUGGAAGGAUGUACUGAAGUAAGGUGUGGUUUCUUGUGCGACGUUCUUUGUUCAUUUACGUUUUGUGCCGGGUUCCUUCUUGCUCAGUAAUGGAAUGAUUUAUCCUAGCAAAUUGUUGAGUUACAGGUGUGUGCGCUAUUUAUCAACGACUGCUAGCCAACAACGACCUGCUAGCCUCGUCAACAAUCUUCGAAGUGAGCGACGGAAAGAAAACGUUUUCCAGUUUUAAAAUAUUAAGCCCCCGGUGAGGACGUCAUUACUUAACAGAAGCCGGUUCAACACGCGCAGCUCCUGUUCAUGACGUCAUCACUAAACUGAAGCCAGCUGAACACGCGCAGCACGGAUGGUACCCCGAGCGCGGUAGGAGGAAGGAAGAACGAGAGGAGGAAGAACGGUAAAUUUGGAAGGGGGAAAGCGUUCUGCCGUCUACACAGCGGGAGUAUGCCAAAACACAUGUGGGAAGGGAGAGGGAUAUUAUUCAAUAAACA